UGUCUCCUUCCUGCGGCUCCAAAGAGACAAAGAGAUAGAAAGAGAGAGCUUGGUGAGAGAGUUCUUCUUUGGUUUAUUCUUCUCUUCUCUUCUCUUGUUCUUCCUUUAUUCUUCAUGUAUCUCGGGUUAUGUUUAUAACAGAGAGAUAGAGAGAGAUGUGAGCACAAUCUACUUGAAGAGUACACUUGUAAUCUCAUUGAUAAAAAGGGGCUUGGUUGAGGGACCGUCUCCCCUCUCCUGAGAUGUAGGCUUCUCACAUCGAGAGCUGAACUCAGGGUGAACAAAAAAGCUUGUGUGUUCUUUCUUUAUGCUUAUUGCUUGAUGCAGAAUUGUGAGUGCAUGUUUGGUUUAAUGUGAAAUCGAGCAUAGAUUUAGUAACAUGGUGUUCACUUGUAUCAGUUUUAAUUAGGUGAGUUAAAUUUUUGUUUUUUGAAUGAUAGGCUGCUAGAUACAGUGAUACUGAUGAUCUCAGAUCAUUGGCCUCUUAUGGUGUCUCUCUUGACUCUCUUGAUUCACAAGGCCGAACAGGUUUCUUCUACAUUCUCUUUUUGUUCUAAAGUUCCAAUUUUUCAAGUUAAUAGAUAAGAUUCUUAAACUCUUGCUCAGACACUUGCAAUGUAUAGGAAAAUUUGGAAUAAAUGAUGCCUAAAAAGGGUUCAUUUGGCUCAUUUCAUCUCGUGAAAUAUUGGUUACUGUUUUCUGGCUUAGUAACAUAUGUUGGUGUUCUUACUCUUAUCCUUGUAUAUUCGGAUACUCAGAUUAAGGAGUUUGAAAUGUAUGGUUAACUCUGUGAACAUUGUUUCUUUUUAUCUUUUACUUGUCUUCACAAGCUGCAUAUGGUUGCGGCGUAUAACUGUAGUGGAGUAUCUUAUCAGUGAAGGAGUGGUAAAAAACAACAACCCUUGCUAAUUUUUAUGCCUUGACGAUGUAAUUUCUGGUCUUCUAUCGAGAGAUUAUUGUGGCUUUGUUAUGGUCAGCAGGAUAUUAAUGCUCUUAACGAUGAGAACAAUGCUCCUCUACAUUGGGCAUGUUUG
This 1034-nucleotide long non-coding RNA is filed under the name Arabidopsis lyrata. Its description in RNAcentral is "long non-coding RNA (ALYR_LNC001611)". The record is from RNAcentral. Lineage: Eukaryota; Viridiplantae; Streptophyta; Magnoliopsida; Brassicales; Brassicaceae.